ACAGAAGGAAAUGCAUCGUGUGUUAAUCAGGCAGAACAAGGAAUAGGAAAAUAGGAGCCUGGAUGCAAACAUUUCACAAAUCUCAGUGAUGUGAGCGUUUUUAGCUUGACUCAAUGAGAUUCUUUACCCAGAGCCACAUGAGGGCAGCACAGCAGCUUAUCAGCUUUUUGGGAGCACAUUUCAGGGGAGAAGAUGUUGUCUCUGAGCUGUCCAUGGUUGUUUUCAGUGGCUGUGAACAGAUGCU
This is a long non-coding RNA of Catharus ustulatus (Swainson's thrush), 244 nucleotides long. RefSeq lists it as uncharacterized. The transcript has 3 exons. Lineage: Eukaryota; Metazoa; Chordata; Aves; Passeriformes; Turdidae. The record is from RefSeq and is a predicted model, not a curated record.